RNAcentral lists this long non-coding RNA (1723 nucleotides) under Pan troglodytes (chimpanzee). RNAcentral describes it as "long non-coding RNA NONPTRT014264". The record is from RNAcentral. Lineage: Eukaryota; Metazoa; Chordata; Mammalia; Primates; Hominidae.
GCGACUUUGCACACAUCAACCUUUCCGAGCUUGUCUCCUCAUUUGCAAAAUGGGGACAAACAUGGCAUUUAUCUUCUAAGGCCACUGUGAGCGUUCUGAGAGAGAAUUCAUGGAAGAUGCUUAGCCCAGGGCUGGGGACCCAGUAAGCACUCCGGGAAUAUUCGUCAUUACUAUUAUUACUAUUAUUGCUGCUGCUGUUGCUGCUACUACUACUACUGCUGCUGCUGCUGUUGGAGAAAGAACCUUCACUGAGGCUGUAGCCCAAGUGCUCCAGUAAUCCCAGCUAACAAAAGCGACCAUGGCUACUCUGACGUGUGGGACGACGAUGCUAGCCAGGCUGUGCCAGACCCCUCCAGGGAGCCUUGCUGACCCCUCCACGACUCAAGCUGCAUUGGCUGCCCCUCCGCUGCACUCUCCAAGUUCCCUGUGCUCCUGGAUCUGGCACGCAUUAUGCUGUCUCCAGAGUACUUGUGUUGCAAAGUGUCUGUCCCCUCUCAUCACUUCAGCUGCCUACGGAUAGGGAUGGUGUCAUCUCUGAGCCUUGAUUCAUAAGACCUGCAUGGGGCAGAUGCUCACAUUGAAUGGACCAAUGAGUGGUGGUUACACUGUUUACCUGCGGGUGGAGUGGGGAGACUUCCUGUUAGCAAGUGCUUUUUCCCACACUUGAGACUGCCUCUCUCCUCUCUAAGUCCUGGAUUUUAGGCCUCCUUCCCCUUCUACCCAAGCUCACCCCCCCCUUGUCAUAACCUGAUGAGGGCUGAGGGAGGUGGUACAGGAGAUGAGUUAAGUGUGGGGCCACUUGUCAGCUAAGAACCCUUGACCCAAGUUUCCUUUUCUGGAAAACAGACAAUAACAGCACCUUCUUAGAGUGGCUAUAAGGACAUAACAAGCCCCUUCCCUCCCCCUGUCCACACUCAACAAGGGGCUAUAUUCUUUCCUGAAGGUCUGUGAUUGCCUCCGGAGGCUGGAGGGCAGCUCUGGAGUCUGGCUUGGCUUGGCAUUCUAUUUGCAACCAUUCCAUAUCCCUUGUCCCCACCCCACUCCCUCCCUAGGGCCACACCUCUCCACAAUGCAGAAGCCAUGGGGUACUCUGGGAUUUAUGUCCGUGGUGUGUAGGGGAAACUCCUGGAACAAAUGAGCGGCUGUGCACGUGGUUGUGUUUGGUUUUGGACUCAGAGGGCACCUCUGGUUUUAUGGGUCUGUCCUUGGUCUUAUGCUGGCUGCCUGCCAGGUUCCAGGGGUCCACAUCCCUGGAAUCACUACCUAGGCCCAAGGUGGGGAGCAGAGACCGAUAACCCAGGUGUCUGGGGUUAUUAGCCAUCAGAAACAUGGAACCUGACAGCAGGAGAGUGGUCACCACUUUGCCCUGACAUCUGGAGGCCUUAUUGCCCCACCCUCAGGUCAUCAUCCCCAAGGCCUGGCAGAUAUUUGUGUGAAGACAGAAGGAAUUUGGGUGAGGGCAGAGACCAGCAUGGCACCCACCCUUUUCCUCCAAUGCCCCUCCCUCUCCCAGCUCAGGGGCUUAGGAGUGUGGUAUGCAGCGGGGAUGGAGGGUAUGAACCCUAGAAGCAGACCGGCCUCAAUUUUAAUCCUAACUAGCUGUAUUGUGUGACCUUGGGCAAGUGACUCCAUUUUUCUGAGCCUCAUUUCAUAAGCUAUAAAAUGGGGAUAACAACAGCAUAUAUCUUUUAGAGAGUUGUAAGGAUUAAACAAUUAAAUGGGA